Molecule: unclassified non-coding RNA, 258 nt
Filed under: uncultured Dehalococcoidia bacterium
Lineage: Bacteria; Bacillati; Chloroflexota; Dehalococcoidia
Description: contains 16S-23S intergenic spacer region
Source: RNAcentral
UCCGGGUUUCGCCCGGCAGUCUCCCUAGAACAUUCAUCUUUCGAAUCCGUACCACUAGCAUGUCAAGCCUUGGUAAGGUUCUUCGCGUUGCAUCGAAUUAAACCACACGCUCCGCCGCUUGUGCGGGCCCCCGUCAAUUCCUUUGAGUUUUAGCCUUGCGGCCGUACUCCCCAGGCGGGAUGCUUAAAGCGUUAGCUGCGGCACGGGGGGGGUCGACACCUCCCACACCUAGCAUCCACCGUUUAGGGCGUGGACUAC